GCAGAUCUAGGGUUUUGAUUCUGAAGUCUAGUCUGCUCCCCAAAAUCACUAGAACCAUAAACUUCUCUCCCCCAUCAUUGAUCGAAUCAUCCUCCGCUCAACCAUCACCGAUGGAAUCAUCCUCCGCUCCACCUCACUGUCAACGACGUCCCCUGAAUCACAUGGCAACGAUUUCACACCGUCCGUUCGCACCACCACUCCGUCACCGGAACACUCGCAGUCAUCACCGGCCACUCGUUUCAAGCCCUUAGAUAUAUCAAAAGUUUGACUUAAGGAAGAGCUGGCUAGCUGGGGGAAUUCUAGAGGCGAGGAAUCCUACAUGCUAAUUUUCCAACAAAUGGUAAGUGGUGAAAAUGUUGGAAGUCGACACAAGCUAAUGAUAUCAUGACUAUGGAAGUCUGUAACAGAUGUACAAGAUCCAUUGUGAAGCGACCGUUUUUCAUUUUUCAUCUACUGGUAUGGUUUAGUUUCAAUGUCAAAAGAAUCCUUGUAAGUUAUUGGUUUGUUUGACCUCAAAAUUCAAACUUGAUCAUUUUUCAUCUACUACUGGUGUCGUUUAGUUUAUUUUUGAACAACCAAAUGCAACUCUUGGAUCAUGUAUGCAGCUGGUCAAUAACUUAUUAAGACCUGCUAUCAACAACCAACAGAUUCUCUCCGAGUCUAUUUCAUUACUGGUAAGAAUCUUUCUUGAUUCUUACUGAUAUAGACAAAAAAGGGUGCGAUUAGUCUUGAGAAAUUGAGUCAGGUAUGUUUAUUCAUAUACUUUUCUUAAAUUUUUGUUUUUUUUUAUUUCAUAUAACUAUGUGAAUCACAAUUGUAUUUUGUUUUCUUUGCAACCAACUUGACCCAUUAUUACUUUUCGUUAAUUCUGAUUUCUUGAUUCUGUUUAUUGGUUUUUUUGUAGAUUGAAAAGUUGAACUUAGUUAUCAAGGAGCUCGUUAAGGAAAAAGACGAAGAAAAAGAAAGGUUCAAUGGAAUUAUUGCGGGGUUGUUGGCUGAAAAAGAAAAAGAUAAGGUGGAUAAAGAUGCUAUGCUUGAUAGGAUGUCACAAAUUGAAGCUAUGUUAACAGCUACAGUUCGAAGAUAGGCUAUAAACACUUGGUUUUGAAUGUUUAGAUGUUUAUCUUAUUAGGAUAAUUUUAGUUAUUUUAUGUUUUAGUUGGUAUUUUUAUAUGCUUUUGAAAACGAGAUGUUUUAUAUAAUUUUGUGAUUUUAUUAGACUUUUUUUUAUAUUAUUUGUAGUUUUAUU
Molecule: long non-coding RNA, 1249 nt
Filed under: Helianthus annuus (common sunflower)
Lineage: Eukaryota; Viridiplantae; Streptophyta; Magnoliopsida; Asterales; Asteraceae
Description: hypothetical non coding rna
Source: RNAcentral